Molecule: long non-coding RNA, 686 nt
Organism: Amphiprion ocellaris (clown anemonefish)
Lineage: Eukaryota; Metazoa; Chordata; Actinopteri; Pomacentridae
Exons: 3
Source: RefSeq, a predicted model, not a curated record
UAAAAUAAAUCAAUAUUGAUUUUUUUUAUAGAGCGUUAAAGUUUUGCGAAGCCAGGGGGCGGGACUACUUGAUUGACAGUCUGGUCUGGAAUGAUUGACAGGUCCUAUGGAGGAGGCAGCAGAGACUCUGCUCUCCUCGUUUGGAUUAAUUCUGAUAUAAUAACUGUUGGUUUAUUUAUCGGUGCAGCAGCAGAACAUUUUCCACAGACAGUUUUCCUGCCCGUUGGCUUGUUUUAACCAGUUUUCUACCUUCGGCUGAUUCUACCAGCAGACACUGAAAGGACUCUGAUAGUUCGAGUGAAAGUAGCAGUUCCUCCUGAAGGUCAGAGAUUGCAGCAUCUGAGGGCCUCUUCAAAAGAAGACGUAGUUGAUGAAGGUGUUCUGGAGCAGGACCAGAAAGACCACGACCAAGCAGCCUUGAGAUCUUAGGCAGCGUCUCCCUGAGGUCCCUCUCUAUCUCCCCACACAUCCACCAACCACUGGAACACAUCUCCAAAGUUCUGCUGGACCAGCUCAGCUUCCCCUCAGAAGAAGUGCCGCCACCUGCCAGAUGAAGGAGCCUUUUGAGAGGCAGCUGGCAUCGUGAUUGGACUGUACUUUGGUCUGUUCCAAUCCAGCUUCAGCUCCAGAGACGGCAGGCGGGACGAGUCAACGGAGGCCGGGUGGACGAAGGCAUGCAGCUGAGU